Metopolophium dirhodum (rose-grain aphid) is the source of this 988-nucleotide long non-coding RNA. RefSeq lists it as uncharacterized. The record is from RefSeq and is a predicted model, not a curated record. The transcript has 5 exons. Lineage: Eukaryota; Metazoa; Arthropoda; Insecta; Hemiptera; Aphididae.
CGACUAUACGAGAAUACGACCGCCCGCGUUAUAAUAUGCCACAGCGCACGUUGUUUAUAUAUUUUUCAAGUAAAUAUCAACGCCUCGAGGUCAUAAAUACAGUACAGAUUCAGAUAAUGCAUUAAAAUACAAGAGGAAUCUCAAGACAAGACACAAUGAGCGAAAUAAAAGAUGAUAUCAUCGAUGAAGUAGAUUCUGAAUGCAAUCGGGAAGCACUUGCUAUGAGAAAUAAAAAUAUGUGAGAAGAAAACAUGUCCUGGUCAAUGUCCUGUUGUCCCGGUAAGGAGAACUUUCCGAUUCAGCAAUGAAAGAGAAAGAAAAUGGAACGGUGGACAUUCAAACAGUGAAUCAAAAUUAUUUACUACUGCAAAAUGAAAAUGUAAAUAACCAACAAUUGUCUCCAGUUAAACAAAUAAUUUAGAACGAUAAUAAUUUGGUCGGCUUAUAGUCUGUUCCACGAAGGAAGAAACUCAUCUCGCUAAGUAACUGUCAGCGUUUAACGACCUGGCACUAUCUCCUUCUCUCAAACAUUCUGGGCAGAAGCGUUGUAUAGCACUACAACUAUAAACUAUGUAUGGUUAGGGUAAACAGUGACGUUAAACGCCAUCAGUUACAUUGUGAAAUGAGUUCCUUCUCUCACGGAACAGAUUAUAGUGAUGGAGUAUGUCAAGACCAGAGUAACAUCGCCGAACAACAACAUUCCGUUAAAUAAUGUGAUAAAUAAUUUAUUAGAACGAUGGCCAGAGUAUGUUGAAUGUACAGACUAUGUGCCACAAAAAAAACUAUUGCAUAUUAAGAUUAACUGGUAUUUGAAAUUUACAAUUUUGGAAGAAGAUAACAAUAUAUACAACUUGGACCUGUCCAUAAAAAUUAAUGAUAGAAAUGUCGAUUUCAUCAUUAAUUUGUUAAAUGCACGGAUUGUAACAAAACCAAUAUGGGCAAUUAUUAUAAAAGUAUACUUGAAUCACGAAUACAUUUUGAACCAUAA